This 219-nucleotide ribosomal RNA is filed under the name uncultured bacterium. Its description in RNAcentral is "partial 16S ribosomal RNA". It matches the Rfam family "Bacterial small subunit ribosomal RNA", at positions 99 to 334 of the family's 1533-position model. The record is from RNAcentral.
CGAACGGCUGAGGAACACGUACGAAUCUGCCCUCCGGUGGGGAAUAACGCAGCGAAAGCUGUGCUAAUACCGCGUACGCGCGCAAGCGGAAAGUCGCAAGGCGCCGGGGAGGAGCGUGCGGCCCAUCAGAUGGUUGGCGGGGUAAUGGCCCACCAAGUCGAUGACGGGUCGCUGGUCUGUGAGGACGAUCAGCCAGACUGGGACUGCGACACGGCCCAG